Molecule: ribosomal RNA, 537 nt
Filed under: Fusarium oxysporum
Lineage: Eukaryota; Fungi; Ascomycota; Sordariomycetes; Hypocreales; Nectriaceae
Description: eukaryotic LSU rRNA
Rfam family: 5.8S ribosomal RNA (bases 203-356)
Source: RNAcentral
GAAGUAAAAAGUCGUAACAAGGUCUCCGUUGGUGAACCAGCGGAGGGAUCAUUACCGAGUUUACAACUCCCAAACCCCUGUGAACAUACCACUUGUUGCCUCGGCGGAUCAGCCCGCUCCCGGUAAAACGGGACGGCCCGCCAGAGGACCCCUAAACUCUGUUUCUAUAUGUAACUUCUGAGUAAAACCAUAAAUAAAUCAAAACUUUCAACAACGGAUCUCUUGGUUCUGGCAUCGAUGAAGAACGCAGCAAAAUGCGAUAAGUAAUGUGAAUUGCAGAAUUCAGUGAAUCAUCGAAUCUUUGAACGCACAUUGCGCCCGCCAGUAUUCUGGCGGGCAUGCCUGUUCGAGCGUCAUUUCAACCCUCAAGCACAGCUUGGUGUUGGGACUCGCGUUAAUUCGCGUUCCUCAAAUUGAUUGGCGGUCACGUCGAGCUUCCAUAGCGUAGUAGUAAAACCCUCGUUACUGGUAAUCGUCGCGGCCACGCCGUUAAACCCCAACUUCUGAAUGUGACCUCGGAUCAGGUAGAAAGCCCGG